This 140-nucleotide ribosomal RNA is filed under the name uncultured eukaryote. RNAcentral's name for it is "partial 18S ribosomal RNA". It matches the Rfam family "Eukaryotic small subunit ribosomal RNA", at positions 1299 to 1458 of the family's 1831-position model. The record is from RNAcentral.
UGGUGGAGUGAUUUGUCUGGUUAAUUCCGUUAACGAACGAGACCUCAGCCUACUAAAUAGGGUGCGUUAUCUACCGAUAGCGACACACUUCUUAGAGGGACAUUUCGGGUUUUACCGGAAGGAAGUUUGAGGCAAUAACA